RNAcentral lists this ribosomal RNA (266 nucleotides) under uncultured Staphylococcus sp. Its description in RNAcentral is "partial 16S ribosomal RNA". It matches the Rfam family "Bacterial small subunit ribosomal RNA", at positions 96 to 354 of the family's 1533-position model. Lineage: Bacteria; Bacillati; Bacillota; Bacilli; Caryophanales; Staphylococcaceae. The record is from RNAcentral.
CGGCGGACGGGUGAGUAACACGUAGGUAACCUACCUAUAAGACUGGGACAACUUCGGGAAACCGGAGCUAAUACCGGAUAAGAUAUCGAACCGCAUGGUUCGAUAGUGAAAGAUGGUUUUGCUAUCACUUAUAGAUGGACCCGCGCCGUAUUAGCUAGUUGGUGAGGUAACGGCUCACCAAGGCAACGAUACGUAGCCGACCUGAGAGGGUGAUCGGCCACACUGGAACUGAGACACGGUCCAGACUCCUACUGGAGGCAGCAGAU